This 1079-nucleotide long non-coding RNA is filed under the name Salmo salar (Atlantic salmon). Its description in RNAcentral is "lncRNA (ENSSSAG00000093790.1)". The record is from RNAcentral. Lineage: Eukaryota; Metazoa; Chordata; Actinopteri; Salmoniformes; Salmonidae.
GUUUCUGUGAAGGAGUGAUGUCUGUGGGGAGGUUUAUGUGAAGAAGUGAUGUGUAUGGGGAGGUUUACGUGAAGGAGUGAUGUCUAUGAAGGAGUUUAUGUAAAGGAUGGAUGUCUAUGAGAGGGUAUAUGUGAAGGAGUGAUGUUUAUUGGCAGUUUUCUGUGAAGGAAUGAUGUCUGUGGGGGGUUUAUGUGAAGAAGUGAUGUGUAUGGGGAGGUUUAUGUGAAGAAGUGAUGUCUUUGAAGGAGUUUAUGUAAAGGAUGGAUGUCUAUGAGAGGGUAUAUGUGAAGGAGUGAUGUCUAUGAGGGGGUUUCUGUGAAGAGGUGAUGUCUAUGUGGGGGUUUGUGUGAAGGAGAGAUGUCUUUGGGGGGGUUUCUGUGAAGGAGUGAUGUCCAUGAGGAGGUUCAUGUGAAGGAGUGAUGUCUAUGAGGAGGUUUAUGUGAAGGAGUGACGUCUAUGAGGGGGGGUAUGUGAAGGAGUGAUGUCUAUGAGGGGGUUUAUGUGAAGGAGUGAUGUGUAUGAGGGGGUUUCUGUGAAGGAGUGAUGUGUAUGAGGGGGUUUCUGUGAAGGAGUGAUGUCUGUGGGGGGUUUAUGUGAAGAAGUGAUGUGUAUGGGGAGGUUUAUGGGAAGGAGUGAUGUCUAUGACGAGGUUAUGUGAAGGAGUGAUGUCUAUGGGGAGGUUUACGUGAAUGAAUGAUGUCUAUGAGAAGGCAUAUCAAAUCAAAUGUAUUUAUAUAGCCCUUCUUACAUCAGCUGAUAUCUCAAAGUGCUAUACAGAAACCCAGCCUAAAACCCCAAACAGCAAGCAAUGCAGGUGUAGAAGCACGGUGGCUAGGAAAAACUCCCUAGAAAGGCCAAAACCUAGGAAGAAACCUAGAGAAGAACCAGGCUAUGAGGGGUGGCCAGUCCUCUUCUGGCUGUGCUGGGUGGAGAUUAUAACAGAACAUGGCCAAGAUGUUCAAAUGUUCAUAAAUGACCAGCAUGGUCAAAUAAUAACAAUAAUCACAGUAGUUGUCAAGGGUGCAACAAGUCAGCACCUCAAGAGUAAAUGUCAGGUGGCUUUUCAUAGCCGUUCAUUG